Molecule: ribosomal RNA, 515 nt
Filed under: uncultured archaeon
Lineage: Archaea
Description: bacterial SSU rRNA
Rfam family: Archaeal small subunit ribosomal RNA
Source: RNAcentral
AACCUUUACACUGCACGACAGUGCGAUAGGGGGACUCCGAGUGCGAGGGCAUAGAGCCCUCGCUUUUGUACACCGUAAGGUGGUGUACGAAUAAGAACUGGGCAAGACCGGUGCCAGCCGCCGCGGUAAUACCGGCAGUUCGAGUGAUGGCCGAUUUUAUUGGGCCUAAAGCGUUCGUAGCUGGCCGAUCAAGUCUGUCGGGAAAUCUGCUCGCCUAACGAGCAGGCGUCCGGCGGAAACUGAUCGGCUUGGGACCGGAAGACUCGAGGGGUACGUCCGGGGUAGGAGUGAAAUCCUGUAAUCCUGGACGGACCACCGAUGGCGAAAGCAUCUCGAGAGCACGGAUCCGACAGUGAGGAACGAAAGCUGGGGUCUCGAACCGGAUUAGAUACCCGGGUAGUCCCAGCUGUCAACGAUGCCCGCUAGGUAUGGCGCAGGCUACGAGCCUGUGCUAUGCCGUAGCGAAGGCGCUAAGCGGGCCGCCUGGGAAGUACGUUCGCAAGAAUGAAACUUAA